This 222-nucleotide long non-coding RNA is filed under the name Elaeis guineensis (African oil palm). Its description in RNAcentral is "long non-coding RNA (EGUI_LNC074281)". Lineage: Eukaryota; Viridiplantae; Streptophyta; Magnoliopsida; Arecales; Arecaceae. The record is from RNAcentral.
UAUACCAUUCAUAUUCUUCCAUACAAUAUAAACAAUAUGACGUAACGCACAAAGAAUCGUGACACUACACAAAAAGAACAUCCAUGAUAAAAUGAGUAGCUUUUCUAAAAUAACGGACGUUUUGCCGGUGGCCAAAACCGCCACCGAUGCCAUUAAUUAAAAUUUUAGACAUCAACACAUGCUUAAUUACCAAGCAAGAGAACACUAAUCCUUAAAUCCGCA